This 486-nucleotide unclassified non-coding RNA is filed under the name Ceratitis capitata (Mediterranean fruit fly). RNAcentral's name for it is "uncharacterized LOC101459561, transcript variant X1". The record is from RNAcentral. Lineage: Eukaryota; Metazoa; Arthropoda; Insecta; Diptera; Tephritidae.
UGGGGAUGUUUUGGGGAUUUUUGGAAGUGAUUAACAAAAAGAAAUAGCUUACGGGCAAAAUAUACCUUACUAUUUAAUUUCAGAUGAUUCCAUUAAACAUACAUACGUAUAUAGUUACUAAUUAAACCAAACGAUCUCCACCGCUAAGACCAACAAAUUUCUUUUGUCUUGCCGAACCGUCGGAGAAAAAAUUUUACUGCUGUCAUUUAUUUCGUUUCAUUCGGGGCUCAGUUUUUGGUAACUCUUUAAAGUGGCGUUUGAUUUUUCCGACAUGUUGAAGUUUUUGAUAACAUUCGGUGCUGGUAUAUACACUGGAAUAUACAUAAGUCAAAAUUAUGAGGUCCCCCGUGUCGAUGAACCUGGCAAGCUGGUCGAUAAAAUAAAGGAAUUCGCUGACGAGCAUCGGAAAAAGUAAUGAAUUCAAAUCGAAACUAAUUGUACUUUAUUAAAAUCACUUCAAUAAAACAAGAACUUGAUACAACAAAA